Molecule: long non-coding RNA, 3257 nt
Organism: Equus caballus (horse)
Lineage: Eukaryota; Metazoa; Chordata; Mammalia; Perissodactyla; Equidae
Source: Ensembl
CUUUGAUUUCAGCCUUGUGAGACCCUAAACAGAGAACCGAGUUGAGCCAUGCCAGACUUCUGACCCACAGAAAUGGGAGAUAAUUCAUUUGUGUUCUUUUAAGUCACUGCAUUUAUGGUAAUUUGCUCUGCAACCAUAGAAAACUAAUGCAGUAACAGAAUAUGAUGAGUCUUUGUAUCUUAUGGGACCCAGGCCUCAGCUGUGGUGGGAGGCCCCAGCGUCCCGCGGACCUGGUGGUGUACAGCGGAUGCCAGUGGUAAAUGGUGAAGCAUGUGCAAUGUUGAACAGAAGUGAUGAGAAUGAACAUCCUUGCCUUAAUCCCAGUAUUGCAGGAAAGGAAUCCAUGGUUUACCACUCAGCAAGACUGCUCUGGCCUGCCAAAGCCCCUGCUCCCGCAAUGUCCUCCAGCGCUUACCCCAGAAGGCAGGGCAAGUGUAGGGUCAGCUGGCUCGCCUCCCUCACUGAUCAUCCUUUGUGGCAGUUGUCCAAUGUCUGAGAAGCUGCUUCCCACAACUUUUUUCCUGGCUUCGUGGAACACGGAUAGUCAAUCUUUUGAUUAGCCCUGAGCUAACAUCUGCUGCCAAUUCUCCUCUUCCUGCCAAGGAAGACAGGCCCCGAGCCAACAUCUGUGCCCAUCCUCCUCUCCUUUUCAUGUGGGAUGCCUGCCACAGCAUGGCUUGACAAGCACUGCGUAGGUCCACAACCAGGAUCUGAACCAGCAAACCCAGGGCUGCAAAGCGGAGAAUGUGAACCUAACCCCUGUGCGACCUGACCAGCCCUUGAAAUUUCAAUCUUUUGAAGUUUGUUGAGAUGAUUUGUGAUCAAUCAUAUGGUCGGUUUUGGUAAAUGUUCUGAGGGUACCUUUAAAAACUAUGUAUUCUGAAAGUUUUGGAUGUUUUAUAUCGUCUUAUUCAUACGUACAGCACCAAUAUAUAGCAAAUAGCCGGAGCCCAAGGCAUACCAAAUUGACUAACUCAAAGGUUUUAUCCUAUUGUGGUGAUUCCAGACCAAGCAAGAGAGGAGGAGGAUGACAUCACAGGGGUGCAGGCAGAGAGAAAACUAUUCCAGGGAGCACGGACCUCACAGAGGAACCCCAAGUCACAGCAUUCAGGUUCCCCUAUUCCAACCAAUAUUAAUGCCAAUGCUUUAUGUGAUGUAAAUUAUCCCAAUGUUUUUCUUCCUCUGUUUCUACCAAUUUUCUCUUCAUUGGUUAUAAGCUCCGUAUCAAGAGUGUUUGACAGUGGGGUACUUGAGAUGGGAAAUAUCUUGGGAAAUCUUGAGAAAAGUUAAUGACGUUGAUUUAUAAAGCUCAUAGAGACAUAUAAGAAAUGGUUAAUUUUAUUUCUCCAUUUUUCUCCAAAAAUUCAUAAUUGCUUCUGAGAUUACAUGAGUUUAGAAGAUAUCUACUAUCUCUACCCAAAGGUCCCAUGUUUCAAGUAGAAUCAUUUUUAAUUUUCCCAGUUCUAGUGUCACUUUCUAUUUCUUACAAACAUUGCUCAAGGUCACAACUGUUAGUAACGUACAUCUUCUAACACAUUUAACUUCCCUAUCUAACCCUUCUGCCACUCUUGUGCUGGACCCUGAAAGUUUGAUUAUAGGAGGAAGCGAGGAAAGAGAUCUAGACAAGGCUGAUAGCACAUUCCGGAGGCUUAUAAGCUGCCUCGUGCGCCCCGCUGCAGAUCUCUUCAACCUCCGAGUCCAGCCACAGCUCUAGUGGACAGUUCUGGGCCGGUUUCACCCUGCUCUGUGCAGACAGUGCUGCCCUUCAGGGACCAAGAACCGAGCUUCCUGUCCCCAGGCUUCUCUGAUGCGGCACUGUGUGACGCUCUGGUACCAGGAGGCUCUCCUGUAUUUGCAACCCAUAGGGAUGGGGGAAUUAACGUCCCAUGGGAGCAGCCCUCAGCACACAGUACAGAGAAAUGCUUCCCCUGUUCGUCCCUCGGGCAGCCAGUUCUGAGAUAAAGUUUAAUAAGAAUCCUGAGGAGGUUCUGCGCUAAGUAACCACAACAGUAGCGGACCACGUGAUAACACGACCUUGUCUUGCCUGACUCUCUGCCCCCCCAGCUCCCUGCACUCCCCUCUCUCAUUCGUGCUCCUUAGGAUCACAUUCCCAAAGAGCAUGCAGCUACCUCUGUCUCAGGCUCUGCUUUCAAGAAUAACCUUGAUUAAGACAGGAGGUAAGUAGGUUGCUGGUAGGUUAUAUAAUGCAGGAAUACAAUCUGCCUUGACUCUGCACGUGCUACAAAGAAACACCUAGUCAGCUGGCAGCACAGUUUAUGGUAAUUUCGACGAUUUUCCAUCUUUUUCCUUUUUGAAAGUUCAUCAUCCAUCCUGAAGCCUGAUGGCCUGAAGAAAAAAAAGUUGGUACAAAUUAGAUUCUAAUUGAAUAGGCAAAUUUCUUUCAUGACAGCUCUAAGCCGUUUUCCUUCCUGAGGAGCCUUUGGCUGUUUGGCUGGAUGCUUCAAUUUAACAAGGAGGAGUUGCAGUCUGUUUAACCAGGGCUCACCGAGAAACUGGCCCAUGAACAAAGACCUGAGCAGGAGAAAGCACACAUGGAUAUGAGGAGCACUCAGGAAGAGGGAAAACAAUCCCAAAAACCCGAGAUGGAGAGAGGCCAGCGUGGUUGGAGACGUGAACUCUGUCUGGGAGGAAAAUACCUCACAAAUAAAUAUCUGCAAACACUUUGUAAAGUCAGAGUUUUCUGCAAGCAGCCGCCUUGGUUGUGAUUCUUCGCUGGGUCCUCCAGGAGUCUGUGCAGUGGAAAGAGCACCGGCUUUGCAGUCAGGCAAUUUUUGCUCUUUUGUCUAUUAGCCACGAGAGCUGGAGAAAAUAAUUCCCAUGGGAUACAGUUUCUUCAUUUAUUAAAUAUGAACAAUUAUAGCUACCUAGCAAGGCUGUCAGGAGAAUCACAGCGUACAUGGAUCUGUACAGUUUUACAGUACCAGGAUCUUUCUCUUUAAAAUGUUCACGGAAGUGAUUCCCAAAGUGUAAUUUCCCAACCUGGUGGUUCUUGAGGGCCUCCUGGAGGGGUGAGCAUUUUCAACUUAAUAUUUUUCGCCUGUUCACCCUCCGGCAGUGACAGUGGCCCACAGGCUAAGCUAUGCCUGUGAUGGAAGCUUCUACUGCAAGUGCCUAAUUGCUGAUAUUUGACUUUUUUUAAAAAAAUGCCAAUUUGAUCAACUUAAUAUUGAGAAGAAAACAAAGAUAGGGGUGGGUCGUUGACUACUACAAAAAAGCAAUAAAAGAUGUCUUGUUUC